Molecule: ribosomal RNA, 262 nt
Filed under: uncultured archaeon
Lineage: Archaea
Description: partial 16S ribosomal RNA
Rfam family: Archaeal small subunit ribosomal RNA
Source: RNAcentral
CAGCCGUAAACAAUGUACGUUAGGUGUGUCGGUAACCACGCGUUACUGAUGCGCCGAAGAGAAAUCGUGAAACGCACCACCUGGGAAGUACGGUCGCAAGGCUGAAACUUAAAGGAAUUGGCGGGGGAGCACCACAACAGGUGGAGCCUGCGGUUUAAUUGGAUUCAGCGCCGGACAUCUCACCGGAUAAGACAGCUGAAUGAUUGUCAAUCUGAAGGUUUUUACAUGACUAGCUGAGAGGUGGUGCAUGGCGUAGACGUCU